RNAcentral lists this long non-coding RNA (6817 nucleotides) under Heterocephalus glaber (naked mole-rat). RNAcentral describes it as "lncRNA (ENSHGLG00000049849.1)". Lineage: Eukaryota; Metazoa; Chordata; Mammalia; Rodentia; Bathyergidae. The record is from RNAcentral.
GGCUGGGGGAGACCUUCAGGCCCUGCCCGGCUUGGGUAGGGGGUGGCUUCUCACUCCUGGUUUUCCGGUGGGAAGGAGACUGCUUUGGCAGGAUUCACAGCUCGGCCCUCAAUGUCCCUCUUUGCCUGUAAACUUGGGGCCCGUCUGACCUCCCUCUGCUUCCCAGCUGCACUGAGGAGUUUCCCAGCCUCCCUCAUUUCCUCCCUUGGGCUUCUCCGUCAGCUCAGCCCCAGGCCCAGCCCUGCCCCCUACCCAGGCUCACCCCACAGGCCUAGCUUGAGCUCAGCAGCUGGAAAGUGGGGCCAGGAUCAGCCAGUGAGGGGAAGCCACAGCAUUGGAGCCAAUCCUGGAGCUGCUGGGAGACCGCACACCUCCAGGGCCCCCGUUGGGGCUGCUGGCUGGGCUCAGGACGGGGCUGGGGCCCAGGCGAGGUGGCCAUCGAGGAGGCGGGCACUUCGGAGCGGGAAGCCAGGGGCCCUCGGUGAACAAAGACUGGGUGGGAGGCGGAGGCGGCCUGUUCCUCUCCACCCCGCCCCCCAGCGCCUGCUGAGCCGAGACUACAGACAUCGAGGCAGGGGCGGAGGAGCAUGGCUGGGCCCCGCGCGGCGCGGCUGUCCCCGCUGCUGCAACUCGGCAGCCUGGCGCUGGUAGCGGGCAGGGCCCCCGAAGGCCCUCUGCUGUCCCCAACCCCGCCUGGACGUCUGCGUGUAGGGAGCUUGCAGUCCACCUGCCCUCCCCCGCCAGCCCCCUUUCCUAACUCAGGAGAGCAGGAUGAGGUGAAGCUAUCCUCAGGGAGACUCCCAGGCUUGCUGAUAUCCAUGGCUACCAGCAGCAGGCACCUGCCCACUCCUCAGUCACCUGCCCACUCCCUGUUGGGAGCCCCCAGAAACAGUGGCACCCCUUGGAGGAACGGCUGGGGUGGCUGGAGGCUGAGGUGCCCAAGCUCAGAGAGCAGGUACCAUAGAGGCAGGGCUGCAUGUUUGGGGUGGGGUGGACUUUUGCAUACUGGGAGGAGAAGAGAGGGUUGGGGGUCCCUGGGGACCCUAAAAUAGUUUCACUUCAAAAGCACACAGAGAAGAUCUCAUCUGAACAGUCUUUAACAUCCAUUCUCUCAUGAGUGAAGAAUCUCCAGAGUAUUUGUGGUGUGUGGAUUUCCGUGCCCUUCAUAAUGAAGCACCUGCCAGGCACGGGGUGAGGGUGGGGACUGCUGCCCUUUCUGCCCAAGGAUGGACCUGUGCUCCCUGAGAACCAUGUGAGACGGAUGCUGACAGAAGGAGACCGGCCUCUGCCGUGGAGUUGUCAAAUUCUCAUCCUGACUCCGUUUUUGCACCUCAUGAAUCCAUGAGACAUGGAAAGGCUGAGCUGUAGUCCCAUCUCUUCCCCAGAAUGAGGACCUGCAGGCCAGAGUGAGGCGGCUGGAGUCCUGUGAAUGCCGCCCUGCCUCUGUCCAGUGCUGGGGGCUUGGGCGCGCCUGGCCUGAGGGGUCUUGCUGGGAGCCCAAUGCCUGCACAGCCUGCAUCUGCCAGGACGGGGCAGCACGCUGUGGCCCUCGGCCCGAGCUGCCCCACUGCCAACGUUAGUGCCACCCAAUCUACCCACUGAGCCACUUCAGGGCCUGGAGAUGGUGUUGGGCCUGAGUGCCACACUGUCUCCUCCUCAGGCUGCAGCCACAAUGGUCAGGUCUGUGGUAAUGGGGAGACGUUCUCCCCAGACACCUGCACCUCCUGCCUCUGCCUGGUGAGUUCCCACGCCCUCCCUCCAGCUCCCCAUCACUAGGUGCUGGGACUGGAUAUUGUGUGAUGGGUUCUUGCCCCUGGUGGCCUUGGGCUGAUUCUCUGGGGGUCUGCUGUCUGAAGUGCAACCCCCCCCCAAGCCUCAAGCCCCUUGAUUUUGCCUUGACAAAGAGUGGCAUGGGGGCCAGAGGAUGUAGUUACUAUCUUCUUUCCUCAAACCCUCUCCUGUGUGACGAGCGCUGUUGCCCUCACCCCACCUCAUCUGCUACCUCACAUUUCCACUGCCUGCUUUCUGUCACUUCCUCCAUGGCCUUUUCUCCUGGCCUUUUCUUUCCUACUCCUCCACUGAGAAAGCCCUGGGUUCUCUUCCUAGGAUCUCUCCACUCUGGGGAAGUUGCUGGCACCUGGAGAAGCGGGUUCCAAGGGGUCAAGGGCUUCAGGAAUGGUGGGGUGGAUGGGACAUCUCUUUUCUGCCCUUGGGCUGGGGUAGCAUGUAUGCUGAGCCAGCUCAUCCUCUGCUUCUGGACACAUUCCUGCCUGGGGUGAGUCUGGAGUUCGGAAGGCCCUGCAGUCACCCUAGCUGCUUCCACAGGAAGGGGCCAUCACCUGUACCCAGAAGCCAUGCCCAAGAGCACCCUGCCCUGAGCUGGGAGCAUGCUGCCCACACUGUGAACCAGGUCAGCAUGCUACAGGCCCUGCCCUCCCUCCUGGUUGUGCCCUGGGGGACCUGACAGAGAGAGAGAGCAGAGCUGAAGAAACCCUGUGAUGGUGCCUGGUGAGUGCUGAGCUGAGCUGGAGCCAGCAAAUGCUGACGCUGCCCUGGGAUGCAUCAAAGAUUAUCAGGACCCUGAGGAGCUUCUGGUCUAGUUGAGAAGAUAAAUUUACAGCUAAUCUAUCACAAGAUUUAAGAUCCAAUGAACAGAUUAGGAGAUGUAGAAGACAUGGGCCAGGGAUUUAGCCCAGUGGUUCUGUCGCCUGCCUCGCAAGCACAAGGACCCGAGUUCAAUCCCCGGUACCAAAAAAAAAAAAAAAAGAGAGAUGUAGAAGACAGUGCAUGCUUUCCCAGAGGAAGGAACAGGAGGGCAGGGGACACCCAUCUGAGCAGGUAGGCAGUUAGGAAGGCCUUUGUAGCCCAGGGGUCAUUUGCACUGGAUCUUCAAGGGAAGGUGGGAUUUCUCCAGGAGAAGGAGAACUUGAGGUCCCUCUGAAUAGGAACCAGGCAGGGAGAAAUGUAUUCCAAGAAUCAGUCCAGGAGGGCCAGUGGAAACAGGCUGUGAUAAGCCCUGCAGUUGGGCUUUCUUCUGUGGGCAGUAGGGAACUUUUGAAGGCUGAAGAGCCAGAGUGUGACAUAUUCAAAUAUAAUGUUUAGGAAUAUUCAGCUGGUGUGGGCUGGAUGCAGAGAGACCAGUUGGGGGCUUUUACAGUCCUUGUCUAGGCAUGGAGCCAGAGAUGGUAGGAGGCUGCAAAUAACAAAGUGUUUCUAAAGAAUGUGCAGGGAUUGGUGACUGGUUGGAUCCAUGGAGUAAUGGUGGCCUUUCAUUUAAAAGAAAGACACCCCUUUAAAGGCACUUUAGUCCAAUCUGUUGUAAAAUAAAUACAUCGAGGAGCCAGGUGUGGUGAUGCAUGCCCAUGAUCCCAGCACUCUGGAGGCUAAGGCAGGAGGAUUCCUGUACGUUUAAGGCCAGCCUGGGCUACAUAGUGAGUUCAAGGAUAGCCUUAACUACUUAGCAAGACCUUGUCUCAAAAAAUUAAGAAUAAAUAAAUAAAUACAUUGUUUCCAUCAGUUAGACACUUGACUGUCACCUGCUGGAAAGGUGUAGUAAAUAUAAAACUCUGAUAGCUGGGUCCUGAAUGGUGGCCCUGUGAUGUGGCACCCAGCCCUCUGAGUCCGGUUUUGCAGGCUGCCCUGAGGGCCACAGGUCAGGGGAAACGUGGCAUCCAGAGCCCUGUGUCACUUGCACCUGCCAGGUAAGAGAAUCAGGGCCUCGCCCCGGCUAUCACCUGCAUCCCUGCUGCCCCAGGCCUGAUCCUACCCAUCCUAAUCUGGAGGCCAGGCCAGGCUUCUGCCUCCACCCAGGUGUUGAGGCCUGGAGCCUGCUAGGCCAAAGGCCUGAAGAGUCCUCUGGCUCGGGCAGUGGGGAGGGAGGAGGCGGGGCUGAGUGUCUUGACCCACAGGCAGGGACCGUGCAGUGCCAGGGGCCCUCAUGCUCUGAGCUCAACUGUCUGGAGAGCUACACCCCACCCAGGGAGUGCUGCCCCAUCUGCCGGCCAGGCUGUGAGUAUGAGGGGCGGCUUCACGAAGAGGGGGCCAGCUUCCUGUCCAUCUCCAACCCUUGUCUCCAGUGCUCCUGCCUGAGGAGCCUGGUUCGCUGUGUGCCCAUGAAGUGCCCACCCAGUCCCUGCCCCGAGCCAGUUCUGAGGCCUGGAGACUGCUGCCCAGCCUGCCAAGCCCCCAGCUGCACAGAAGGUGGCACUCACAGGGGCCAUGGCCAAGAGUGGACUGCAUCCAGGGACCCCUGCCAGAUCUGCCGAUGCCUGGAGGGCCACAUCCAGUGCCACCAGGGGGAAUGCGCCAGCCUGUGCCCAUACCCUGCCCGGCCCCUCCUGGGCACCUGCGGCCCAGUGUGCGAUGGCUGUUUCCUAAAUGGGGGAGAGCACUGCAGCGGGGAGCCUGUGGGCUUUGGAGACCCCUGCUCGAGCUGCCGCUGUGCUGUGAGUGUGGCUGCCUGGCAGGGCCGGCCUGGCUUCUGGGCUUGCCUGCUGCCUGCUAACCAGGCCCUAUUGGCAGAAUGGGAGUGUCCAGUGUGAGCCUCUGCCCUGCCCACCUGUGUCCUGCAGACACCCAGGCCGGGUCCCUGGGCAGUGCUGCCCCGUCUGCAAUGGCUGUGAAUACCAGGGACAGCAGUAUCAGAGCCAGGAGACCUUCAGCCUCCAGGAGAGUGGUCGCUGGUCCGCUGCUCCUGCCAGGCUGGUGAUGUCUCCUGUGAGGACCAGGAGUGCCCAGUUGCCCCCUGUGCCCUGUCUGGCUCUGGCUCAAGGUUUUGCCCAGCCUGUGUGCUCAAUGGAGAGGAGUUUGCUGAAGGGGUCCAGUGGGAGCCUGAUGGCCAGCCCUGCACUGCCUGCUCCUGCCAAGAUGAGGUGCCUGUCUGUGGGGCUGUGCUCUGCUCCCCACCCUCCUGCCAGCACCCCACCCAGCCCCCGGUGCCUGCUGCCCCGGCUGUGAGAGCUGCACCUACCAUGGCCACGUGUACGCCAAUGGGCAGAACUUCACAGACCUGGACAAGCCUUGCCAUGCCUGCCACUGUGAGGUACCUCUCUGGCUUGCCACUGCCCUGCUGAGGCCCUCCUGGGGCUGCCCACAGCCUCUGUCUGCUCUCAGGAUGGGACUGUGAGGUGUUCCGUGGUCAACUGCCUUCCCACUACCUGUGCCAGGCCCCAGAAUCAACUCGGUCAGUGCUGGCCCAGGUGUCCAGACUGCAUCCUGGAGCAACAGGUGUUUACGGAUGGCCAGCGCUUCUCCUACCCCAGAGACCCCUGCCAAGAGUGCCACUGUCAGGAAGGCCACACUCGCUGCCAGCCUCGCGCCUGCCCCUGGGCUCCCUGUGCCCACCCACUGCCCGGGACCUGCUGCCAGAGCCACUGCAGCGGCUGCGCCUUUGGCGGUAAAGAGUACCCCAGUGGAGCCGACUUCCCCCACCCCACCGACCCCUGCCGCCUCUGUCGCUGUCUGGUGAAUGCACCCUGGAGAGGAGAAGCCCAGGGGAGUGGCAGUGGGGCUUGGGGAGGCUGGGAGAGGCCCACUAAAUGGGGUGGGGAGGGGGCGGGGGUCUCCUCGGCCUUGUCCCUCUAACCUGGCCUGGCACUGUCCCUCUGUGCCCCCGCAGAGCGGCAACGUGCAGUGCCUGGCUCGCCACUGCCCGCCGUUGCCCUGUCCCGAGCCGGUGCUGCCGCCAGGAGGCUGCUGCCCGCAGUGCCCGGGUAGGAGCCGCUCCGCGCCGAGCCUCCCCCAUGCCUCUGACCCGCUCUCCCCCGCAGCCCUCCCCGCCCCCUCCGGCUGCCUGCUGCCAGGGGGCACCGUCCCUGUCCGCCACGAGGAGCACUUUUCCCCACCCGGCGACCCCUGCAGCCGCUGCCACUGCCUCAACGGCUCGGUGUCCUGACGGCGGCUGCCCUGCGCACCCGCGCCCUGCGCCCACCGCGCCAGGGGCGCUGCUGCGGCUCCUUCGACGGUACCGCUCCCCCCCCCCCAACAUCCGGUCACCACUUCUUCGGCUGCCCCCUGCUGGGUCCCCCGUUCCUCUGUCCCAGACCGGGUGGCCCAGAAUCCCCCUUGCUGCUUGCCUAGCAUGCCCGAGGCCCUGGGUUCAUUCCUAGCAUUAAAUAAGGGGUUGGAGUACAGUGCUGCGUCUCAGGGCUCUGGAGCCAAAUACCAGGCCUCCCAGCCCCAGCCCGCCUCGCCUCCGCAGGCUGCCUGUUCCAGGGGAAGGAGUUCGCCAGCGGGGAGCGUUUCCCGUCGCCUAGCGCCGCGUGCCACGAGUGCCUCUGCUGGGAGGGCAGGGUCACCUGCGAGCCCAGGGCUCGUGCCCCUGCACAGUGCCCCUUCCCCCCAGGGGCGACUGCUGCCCUGCCUGUGACGUAAGAGAAAAGCUCUGGACUAAAGGUUGUAUUUUCUCCUGCUUUUGAUGCUAUUUGUGUGACUUUGGACAAAUUACAUAACCUCUUCGGGCUUUCUUUUUUUUGGGUACUGGGGAUCAAACUCCGGACUUUGCGCUAACGAGGCAGGCGGUGGAACCACUGAGCUAAAUCCCAGCCCUGGGCUUAAUUUUUAAACUCCUGUUAAAAAAGAAAAAGAGAAUUGAACAGAUCGAGUUUCCACAUCUUUGGUGUCUCCUGCUAUUUUAGCAAUUAUUGCUACACAACUUCUACCAACGGAAUUUUUAUUUAUUCUGUACUUUUCCUCAAAUAAAUUCAUUUAUUAAUUUAAAUUUAUUUAGACAGGAGUUUUAUAUCACACAGGAAAUGGAAAAUUAGACUUGCCAGGAAUAGAUUACUGUAAAAAUGAAAAUAAUUGAAAUACAAGCCAG